GUGAAUCAUCGAAUCUUUGAACGCAUAUUGCACUCUCUGGUAUUCCGGAGAGUAUGCCUGUUUGAGGGUAAUUAAAAAGAAUCUUUAACCAAUUUUUUUUGGUUAAAGGAAAUGAGUUCGUCGCGUUUAUAGCGGUAGCUUGAAAUAAAUGGUAGUCUCAUUUUAGUCGUGGCGAGUAAUAAUUUUAUUUCGUGAAAUCUAUAUUAUGUGACUAUCCGGUUUUGAUGCAUA
Molecule: unclassified non-coding RNA, 231 nt
Filed under: Ambisporaceae sp.
Lineage: Eukaryota; Fungi; Glomeromycota; Glomeromycetes; Archaeosporales; Ambisporaceae
Description: partial contains 5.8S ribosomal RNA and internal transcribed spacer 2
Rfam family: 5.8S ribosomal RNA (bases 1-71)
Source: RNAcentral